This 797-nucleotide ribosomal RNA is filed under the name uncultured bacterium. RNAcentral's name for it is "bacterial SSU rRNA". It matches the Rfam family "Bacterial small subunit ribosomal RNA", at positions 8 to 796 of the family's 1533-position model. The record is from RNAcentral.
AGAGUUUGAUCAUGGCUCAGAGGAUGAACGCUAGCGGCAGGCUUAAUACAUGCAAGUCGAGGGGUAACAGGGGUAGCAAUACCUGCUGACGACCGGCAAACGGGUGCGGAACACGUACGCAACCUUCCCAUAACUGGUGAAUAGCCCUCCGAAAGGAGGAUUAAUACACCGUAACAUAAUGAAAUGGCAUCAUUUUAUUAUUAUAGGCUUCGGCCGGUUUUGGAUGGGCGUGCGCCUGAUUAGGUAGUUGGCGGGGUAACGGCCCACCAAGCCUGCGAUCAGUAACUGGUGUGAGAGCACGACCAGUCACACGGGCACUGAGACACGGGCCCGACUCCUACGGGAGGCAGCAGUAAGGAAUAUUGGUCAAUGGACGAAAGUCUGAACCAGCCAUGCCGCGUGAAGGAUGAAGGCCCUCUGGGUUGUAAACUUCUUUUAUCUGGGACGAAAAAAGGGCAUUCUUGCUCACUUGACGGUACCAGAGGAAUAAGCACCGGCUAACUCCGUGCCAGCAGCCGCGGUAAUACGGAGGGUGCAAGCGUUAUCCGGAUUUACUGGGUUUAAAGGGUGCGUAGGUGGGUUGGUAAGUCAGUGGUGAAAUCUUCGAGCUUAACUCGGAAACUGCCAUUGAUACUAUUAAUCUUGAAUUAUCUGGAGGUAAGCGGAAUAUGUCAUGUAGCGGUGAAAUGCUUAGAUAUGACAUAGAACACCCAUUGCGAAGGCAGCUUACUACGGAUCGAUUGACACUGAGGCACGAAAGCGUGGGGAUCAAACAGGAUUAGAUACCCUAGUAGUCC